AAAUACAAGAAGACGUUGAAAAUUUGGGGUUAAACAUAUGUUCGGGGUGAUAUCCAAUGUCUCCCAUUGGAAGACGUGGGGUACGUCUCCCAAUCCAACGUCUCUCAAUAGGAGACGUGUCACAUGUCCUACGACUCUCAGUGGGAGACGUUGGAUGUCCCCACUAAUAUAAUGUAACGCUUUCCUCUUCCUUCUCCUCAGACGCACAUUACAGAGGCAUUCAUCUGCGAAUUUUGGGUUUUUCAACGCUUUCUAGGGCUCAAAGAGAAAAUUCGAUUGUUACGUGAAGUAAUUUUGCUAGCUUUUGGAUUAUUAAUUGCAAGAGACAUAGGAGAAGAUAUGGAUAGAAAGUGGAUGUCAGGGAAUAGGUUAUCUGCAGAAUAUAGGAACGAGGUCGAUUUGCUCUUAAGUGAACAUUGGAUGUUGCUUAUAUUGGCACCAUAUGUAUAUCAUGCUUAUUAUUGUGAUCUGGUGAACUCAAAUCUGAAUGACCGUGAGGAGAUUGUAUCAAUAAUCAUUAAUAGUAGUUUCAAUCUUUUUUUCUCUAUGAAUCAACCUAAUGUUGAGAUCCCUGAUAAUCUACGCAUUAAGAAACCCCACCUAAGUAAUUGCAACUUAAAUUUUUGAACUUUUAUAAUUAUUAAGUAGAAUAAUAUGUAUGCAUUUUUUACAAAGUGUCAAUUUAAUAAUGAAUUACUCAUACUUUUAAAUAAUUA
Long non-coding RNA from Humulus lupulus (European hop), 716 nucleotides. RefSeq lists it as uncharacterized. NCBI's taxonomy places the organism in Eukaryota, Viridiplantae, Streptophyta, Magnoliopsida, Rosales, Cannabaceae. The record is from RefSeq and is a predicted model, not a curated record. The transcript has 4 exons.